GACGAACGCUGGCGGCGUGCUUAACACAUGCAAGUCGAACGAAGAGCGAUGGAAGCUUGCUUCUAUCAAUCUUAGUGGCGAACGGGUGAGUAACGCGUAAUCAACCUGCCCUUCAGAGGGGGACAACAGUUGGAAACGACUGCUAAUACCGCAUACGAUCCAAUCUCGGCAUCGGGACUGGAUGAAAGGUGGCCUCUAUUUAUAAGCUAUCACUGAAGGAGGGGAUUGCGUCUGAUUAGCUAGUUGGAGGGGUAACGGCCCACCAAGGCGAUGAUCAGUAGCCGGUCUGAGAGGAUGAACGGCCACAUUGGGACUGAGACACGGCCCAGACUCCUACGGGAGGCAGCAGUGGGGAAUCUUCCGCAAUGGACGAAAGUCUGACGGAGCAACGCCGCGUGAGUGAUGACGGCCUUCGGGUUGUAAAGCUCUGUCAAUCGGGACGAAUGGUUCUUGUGCGAAUAGUGCGAGGAUUUGACGGUACCGGAAUAGAAAGCCACGGCUAACUACGUG
This 510-nucleotide ribosomal RNA is filed under the name uncultured bacterium. RNAcentral describes it as "partial 16S ribosomal RNA". It matches the Rfam family "Bacterial small subunit ribosomal RNA", at positions 28 to 507 of the family's 1533-position model. The record is from RNAcentral.